Prosopis cineraria is the source of this 498-nucleotide long non-coding RNA. RefSeq lists it as uncharacterized. The record is from RefSeq and is a predicted model, not a curated record. The transcript has 2 exons. Lineage: Eukaryota; Viridiplantae; Streptophyta; Magnoliopsida; Fabales; Fabaceae.
AAGAAGAACUGCAUGUCUGCAUUGAAUGAGAAAGAAGAUCAAAUAUCUAUCAAUGAAGGUUUGGCUCCAGAACUAGAAAACUUGACUGAUAGGGUUGAACAUAUCAAAUUCGACCUGAACUAUAUAUUUGAAUGAAGAGAUUCUUUUUCGGCAAUGGAGGAGGGAAACAUAAUAUGAUCUGCAAAGAAGAAAGCUGUCGAUCAAGCUAUAGAAGAAAAAGGCAAGGUUAAAAAUGUGCAGACUAUUUCAUUAUAUUAUCAUAGUAGAUAUUUAUUCACCAGCCUUUGUCACUGUUAUUUCUUGUAUAUUUUUUGAUAGGCUAUUGUCACAGUUGAUAUUUCUUUGCAUUUACUCUUCUUGUAAAUACUCUACAACUUAGUUAGGUAGAUUUGGAUAAUUUGAACUUGUAGAAAGCUUUUGUAAUAAUGCUUAUAUAUUGUUAUUGAGAAAUAAUGUUGAAUUUUGAAAUUGGUUCAAUAUAUAAGAAUUUUGGAUGCU